GGAAUAUUGCACAAUGGGCGAAAGCCUGAUGCAGCGACGCCGCGUGAGGGAUGACGGCCUUCGGGUUGUAAACCUCUUUCAGCAGGGAAGAAGCGAAAGUGACGGUUCCUGCAGAAGAAGCGCCGGCUAACUACGUGCCAGCAGCCGCGGUAAUACGUAGGGCGCAAGCGUUGUCCGGAAUUAUUGGGCGUAAAGAGCUCGUAGGCGGCUUGUCACGUCGGUUGUGAAAGCCCGGGGCUUAACCCCGGGUCUGCAGUCGAUACGGGCAGGCUAGAGUUCGGUAGGGGAGAUCGGAAUUCCUGGUGUAGCGGUGAAAUGCGCAGAUAUCAGGAGGAACACCGGUGGCGAAGGCGGAUCUCUGGGCCGAUACUGACGCUGAGGAGCGAAAGCGUGGGGAGCGAACAGGAUUAGAUACCCUGGUAGUCCACGCCGUAAACGGUGGGCACUAGGUGUGGGCAACAUUCCACGUUGUCCGUGCCGCAUCUAACGCAUUAAGUGCCCCGCCUGGGGAGUACGGCCGCAAGGCUAAAAC
Molecule: ribosomal RNA, 532 nt
Filed under: Streptomyces sp.
Lineage: Bacteria; Bacillati; Actinomycetota; Actinomycetes; Kitasatosporales; Streptomycetaceae
Description: bacterial SSU rRNA
Rfam family: Bacterial small subunit ribosomal RNA
Source: RNAcentral